Molecule: non-coding RNA, 2807 nt
Organism: Arachis ipaensis
Lineage: Eukaryota; Viridiplantae; Streptophyta; Magnoliopsida; Fabales; Fabaceae
Source: RefSeq, a predicted model, not a curated record
AUAAUUAUUUAAAAUCCCCCCAUUGUUGCACAUAAUUAAAAUUCCCAAAUCCCCUCCAAACAAACCCUAAAGCUAGCAGCCGUCACCGUGUCUGAGAUAAGAUCUCGUCGAAAUGUGCAAGAGGUUAGCUUCAACCCAUCGCCGCCUCUAGCGCCGCCUCCAUCGCCACAGCCAUCACCACCACUAUAUCCAUUCGUGUCCUUGCUGUCACCGCCACUGCCACCACAUGCUUCGAUAAUCUCUUUUCCCGUUGUCUCCGCCGUCGAUGCCUUGUCUCCUUUGGUCACGACGCGGACAUUGAUCCUUAUGAGGAGAAUCCUGGAACUGCUCUAUUUAGUGAGCCUGAAGCUCAAAUUAUGUGGAAACUUGCCAUCUCGUUCGAACCACAUGUGUGGAUCAAUGUGAACUCUGGAAUUGAGGCAAGUUUAGUUAAUUAUUUACCCAUUCCUUAAAAGAAUAUUGAAUGUUCUCCUCCUUAGUUUCUGUAUUCAUAGCAAGUUGGGAUACUUUUGCAGUUCGGUAGACAUGCUAUGCAGCCUUUCAUAUAUCACUUCCUAUUAUUUUGUUGCUGGUAUAAUGAUAAGGUUUGUUUUGUAAAAUGACUCAGUUGUUGGGACCCCAGGCUCAGGGAAGACCACAUUGCUAUUAGCCUUGAUUGACAUUUUGCUGGAAAACUUGGCAAAAAUCUAAAAGUAAACAAAUCAAUCAAAUUUUGCUACAAUAAGUUCAUACAUUGUAGGCUAUAGUUCCUUUUAAAUUUUAGUAAUUAAAUUAUUACACAUGGAUUUUCUUGUUCCUAUGCUGCUAAGAAGGGAAUAACUAGAAAUGCAUCUUCUGCUUUACAUGCUGCUAAUGUAGAAAAGCCUCAAGGAGCAGAAGGAUAUAGUGUGACACCUAAGUAUAAAUCACCAUCAGAGGAUAGGAUACUUCCCUAAGGGGAUACCUAAGAGCAAUGUAAAAAAAGGAUUCAAUAGAGGUCAUAUUCAAAGGUUCACACAACAUUGGAGUUUCCAUGGCUACUCCAAAUGGUCUAGUUGUACCAAAUAUAAAGAAUGUCCAGUCUCUUUUAAUCUUAGAGGUUAGUUUUCAAUCUUAUGAUUACUGUAUGCACACAUUGUUAUUUCGAUGAAAGUGCAUGUCCGUCAUUACUGAUCAGUUAGAGAGGUCUGGAAGAUAAAUAUGAUUCAUAAUUUGAACUGCUUGAACAACAUAUACUUUAGUUCUUGACUUAUCAUUUUUCUCUUUCGCUGGACUGGUGGUAUUGGACUCAGCUCUGGAAUGGAGACUUGGGAGAAAGAAAAUAAUCGUUAUAUAUAUGAGGCAUUGUUAUACUAACUUAUUUGCUGUCUGCACAGCGUAAUUUGCUUCCUCAAUUUGCUGAGGAUGAUAUUGAUCUUUUGACUAUAGUGGGACAAUUCUUGUUUGUGCUCUCUGAAGAAAUCAACAUAUAAACCAGUAGGAAAAAAAUAAAUCAAAUAAACAUAUGCCAAUCAAGUAAUUAACAUUACAACAACUCUAUCUAUCAAAUCUUGUCCUAUAAAGUGUGACCAUCAGGUAUUACCUAUAUUAAUUUUAUCAUAAAUUAUAUCCAUAUGCUAAUUAAAUUGCAUUCAACUAGUCUUCUUGUCAAUAGAAUUAGAGUUUGGUGGGGUUUAGGUAAUUAAAAGAAGAUAAUUACUUACGAUUCAAUGGUGAGGCAAUCAAUCUGAGUAAUAAUUGCAACUAUGGUGAUGAUGGCCCAAUACACAUCAACAGGAAUUUGCUCAAUGGGAGGCUCCAAAUCAGGCACAUCAUUGUGAUCAUAAGUUGAGAGCUUCUCCAACUCAAAGAUCAACUUAAUCACCUGCAAUGUUGUUUUCACCAAAUUGUUUAGCCCAAUAUACAUUGUAGGCCAUAGUUCCUUUUAAAUUUAAUUUUUCUUUUGGACAAGUUCCUGAAAAUGAUAAUCCUUCAGUUUUGAUAUCUUUUGUCUCAAAGACACUUAAUGUUGGUCAAAUUAUAUUGAAACUGCAUGUUAUUGAGCUGGGUGCACAGCCAGGUAUGCAUAUUUUUUCCUCUCACACCUAUCUCCUAUGUUUUUAUUCAAUGGCAACAUGGGUGUUACACUUUUGACUAAAUUUUAAACUGGAUCGUUAUCUCCCUUCUUUAUUUUAUUUUAUUUACAUGCAUUGUCAAUAUUAAAAUAUUUAGCUAAUAUAUAUGACCCUUCAGGUUGUAAUAACAAGUAUAAAUAUAUAUGGCUCUUCAGGUUGUAAUAAUAGAAAAUUUAUGAUUCACCUGCCUAUAUUCUUUUUGGAAGUAGGACUUUGUUUUAUUUUAUUACAAGGGUAUGUUGUAUCAAUUUGUAAACUUGCAGGUAUACUUUACCAUGUAUGAACAGCUCAAGAGCCUUCUUCAGUCUGAGGGUGUACAAAUUAUAAUAAGUACAGAUUGCCAUAAUCUUUCAGUUGGAGCUAAUAUGAUGGCUGCUUCUGGUGCUGGAGCUACAACAACAAUGUUCACAAAUCCACUUUGGGUUGUCAAGACUAGACUCCAAGUAUGAGUUCUAAGGUUAACCAGAUGCAUUCUCUACUUCAGUUCAUGAAUAUAAAAUACCCCCUAAAGGUCUUCUAAGAUUGCAUUCAUAUUUUUAUUUUGAUACUUUUAUGUAAUUAGAUAAUAUUAAAAUAUUGAAAUUGUUGUUUUAUUUUACUUUUUAAAGAAAAACAGUAAUAGUUAUGUAGAACAAUACCAUAUGGAAUUAUGUUUGGAACUAUUGACAUUGAGAAUUUUCUUUUAUAUAUAGAGUUAUGUCUUAUAUUGAGAAA